AAGAAAGAAAGAGAGAAGAGAGGAGAAUUUUUAAGGGUUUUCCAAAUCUACGAAUAUCUAAGCCCCCAAUCCCAAAUCUAACUUCGGAAACGUGAUCUACGUGUGUGGAUCUACGUUUUGACCGAUUAUUUUGAGGUAUUUAACUACUAGGAAGUUGCUCGAGGAUACCCAAACCUCAGAUUUUGGUUUGGUGAACUUUGGUGGCGCUUUGAGAGUUGAACUUCGAGCUGUUGGAAUUGGUGUGCAAACGGCCUAAGGAUAGUCGGUUUUCAAAUUGGAAUCUUCAUAUAUUCAGACAUCUACUGUUCACAAGCGUC
Alnus glutinosa is the source of this 317-nucleotide long non-coding RNA. RefSeq lists it as uncharacterized. The record is from RefSeq and is a predicted model, not a curated record. The transcript has 4 exons. Lineage: Eukaryota; Viridiplantae; Streptophyta; Magnoliopsida; Fagales; Betulaceae.